Molecule: ribosomal RNA, 456 nt
Filed under: Gerbilliscus robustus (fringe-tailed gerbil)
Lineage: Eukaryota; Metazoa; Chordata; Mammalia; Rodentia; Muridae
Description: partial 16S ribosomal RNA
Rfam family: Bacterial large subunit ribosomal RNA
Source: RNAcentral
GAGGUUUAACGGCCGCGGUAUUCUGACCGUGCAAAGGUAGCAUAAUCACUUGUUUCUUAAUUAGGGACUAGAAUGAACGGCAAAACGAGGGUUUAACUGUCUCUUAUUUCUUAUCAGUGAAAUUGACCUUCCCGUGAAGAGGCGGGAAUACACAAAUAAGACGAGAAGACCCUAUGGAGCUUUAAUUUUUUAACUCAUUUCUUUCUCUUUUCAAUCUAAUGAACUAACAUCCAAAUCUCUGAGUUAAAAAUUUCGGUUGGGGUGACCUCGGAGAAUAGAAAAUCCUCCGAAAGAUUUUAGCCUAGGCUGACAAGCCAAAGCACUAACCUUUAAUCAAAUUGACCCAAUAACUUGAUCAACGAACCAAGUUACCCUAGGGAUAACAGCGCUAUCUUAUUUGAGAGUUCCUAUCGAAAAUAGGGUUUACGACCUCGAUGUUGGAUCAGGAUAUCCUAA